This is a non-coding RNA of Rattus norvegicus (Norway rat), 558 nucleotides long. The record is from RefSeq and is a predicted model, not a curated record. NCBI's taxonomy places the organism in Eukaryota, Metazoa, Chordata, Mammalia, Rodentia, Muridae.
AUGCACAUGAGGAUAUUUUGCCUCUUGGCUUCUUAGGAUCUCCUUUAUCUCCACAGGCAGAGUCGACCAGUGGCGGUUUGGCUCUAGCUCGCGCCAGCGCUGUUUCUAAGGAGCUCAAUCUUAUUGCAACAUUAUUUUCUUUCUAAAAGCUGAAAUCUAGUGAGGACCUAGGAUGGCUGGAAUGAAAGUAUAACAGGAUAGAAGGAAGCUGUAACAUCAAAGUCCGGAAGUUUUCUUUUUUUAUUGGAUAUUUUCUUUUCUUUACAUUUCUUUUUUAUAGCCAUGGCAAUAUUUAUUUGUUUCUUUUCAACCAGACUCGGUAUGUGUGAUGAUGAGUCUUUCAACUUGACACAAUGAAGAAUCCCCUGGGAAGAGUCUCAAUGAGGAAUUGUCUACAUUGUGCCACUUUUCCUACUAACUCCGAUGAAGAGUCUUCCUUUCACGCUCUUGUGCCUGAAAUCGACCUGACUAAAGGACACACGGUAUGUGGCAUAUAUAGAUGGUCCCCAAAAGCUGUUCAUAACAUCUCUUAUGCCUUAAAAAAAUCAGAUUUCUUUA